RNAcentral lists this long non-coding RNA (7342 nucleotides) under Xyrichtys novacula (pearly razorfish). Lineage: Eukaryota; Metazoa; Chordata; Actinopteri; Labriformes; Labridae. The record is from RNAcentral.
AGAGGAGGCAGUAAAAGCGGGUCUGGGUGGGUGGAUAAGGGGGGAUAACCUGUGGAUUGAAAUGGUGUGCCUCCCCCCUCCCUGCCACCCGCCCUCGAUCCCCUUGAUUCUGAGAGGCCGUUUUUCUCUGCGGCCACAAAGGGAGAGGGCUCGGAUUGCGCCGGGACAUUCACCGGCCCACUUUGUUUUCAAAUGGUUUUGUUUAGUUGUGACACUGUAGACACCCAACACCUUCCAAGAAUCCGAACUCUUCUGUGGGGGAGCAGAGAGGGCAGGUGGGUGGUGUUUGGGCGUGAGGGGAAUGGAGGGGGAAGAGGUAGCUUCAGAGUGGAAAUUUGGGGGUUAGUAUUUGCUUUUUGGAGGUUCUAGAUUCAUUUUUAGCCUAAUCUCUCUCUUCUCUCACACAUCUCCAUUUUUCCAAGCUUUUCUGUCCUAAAAUAAAUGUCACACGUUUUAUCUUCUGCCUCCCCCACUCCCCCCUGCCCUGACUCCUGCACUCCACCCUGUUUCGUAGACCCCCUCUCCCCUGCCUUCUCCUCCAGCACUCCCUCAAAGCCCCCUGAGGCGUUCACACUGUUAAAUCCAAUCCACCUCCGAGUGUUUAAGCAGCUUAACACAGCAGGAUCUGCACCGCUCAGCCCAGGAGAGGCUGAUGCUUGACAGGUAAUACAGGACUAAGUCUAGGCUUAGCCUUUACUUUUACAUAACACUUCCUGCCAGUCUGCUGAGGCAUGUGACGCCUUACAAGCGUGGAGAUGUGCAGGAAUGCUUCUAAUGCUCGAGUGCUCCAACACAAAUGUGAGCCAACACAAUUUUAAGCCCCUUUGCUCCAAGGAAGUCUUGUCAGUUUUAGCAAAAAAAAAAAAAAAGAAUAUUGAGUGGUAGCUAUUUGGAGAGGAACUACUCCUAAAACACAUGUCCCAGGUCAAGCUACGUCUCCAGAAGUGCGUCUCUCAAGUAUCUCUUGAACCGUUUUCAUAUUGCUAGUUCAAGACUACGUAGAAUUUCGUACCACUGCAAUGGCUUGUCUUUAGUAUCAAAGGGAUAUUCCGAAGUUAAAGCCAUGGUCAAACACACCGUAACACCGGGUUAGACGACCCCCCCGAGAAAUGAAUUUUGCUGACCACUUGCUUCUCUAGUUACACCAACUUUGGCAAAGACCGCACGAUAGCAAUACACAUCGGUCUAUGUCUCCACACGCAAACCGCAACCAAAAAGCCACUCAUAGCCACAAAUAAUGCUCAGAACAGCCCUAGCAUGAGCAUUACUUGUGGCCGCGAGUGGCUUUUUGUUUGCAGUUUGCGCGUGAAAGCAUAGAGAGCUGGAGAAUAUUUAUAAAGUGAAAGGGGGUUAACAUGGUGCUAACGUCUACACAACAGACAAGACCUGGAGGAGUUAAGCGUUACCUUCAGAAUUUAAAGCAGAUGACGCCGAGAUGUUAACUCUGCUCCUGCUUUUUCCCCCCUUCGACGAAUUUAAAGCUUUGCAAGUGUUGCAAGUAGCCCUGGUAUCAUCUUUUCACGUGAAAUACAGCCAAACUCUGGAUUGCUUUUGCCUCAACGCCAUGCUUGAAAGUUCUGAACCAAAACACACUUCUUGCGUACUACGUCAUCACGCCUAGAGACGUAAGAGGAAUUGAUUAGCAGAACUAUUGAGGAGGCAGAGAAGGAAUUUUUAGAAAUCGAAUCACUGGGAGCGGUUAUCGAUUCUCAUCCCUAGUGUCUUCUGUCUUUUGCCAACAUUCAACUUAAACUGUGUACAUUUUCAUACAUUCUGAACUCUCUACGUUUAAUGUUGUGAAAAUAUAUCUAUUUAUGAAGUCUACAAAAUGAUACGAUUGAAUAAAUAUAGAAUGAUAAUAAUAUAAGAUAACUUGUAGCAACAGAUUCAGAGCAGUGACACAUUCUCCACUGAGCUUUUCUAGAGCAUGGUUAACUUAGAAAGUAUCUCCACCAUCACUUGAGUUUAAGAUGAGUUCGAAAGCGAAAGAGCAAAAACUUCAGCGUCUUUUUUUAGGGCUUCGACCAUGUCGUGAGGAUUUGCUGUCGAUUUGUUAAUUAUUAAAAUGGAUCCCAUCACCGCACAUGUAGCAGUGCACACUGACAGCCUUUGUAAAUGCCUCUUGACAUGCUUGACAAGGCGGCAGUACCUGAGCUCACAGGGGCCAUGGAGUCAAUUGCUACACAUAGGCAGUGCUUUGAAGGGCAGGGGUGCGUGCCGAGCCGGGCCGCGGGUGGCACACACACACACCCACACACACAUGAUCCGUUCUACAAUCAAACACACCACAUCCCCAAGGACGGAUGGUGCAGUGGCGGGCUGCAAACCCUACCUUGCCAAACACCAUCAGGCCAGGGGCAGCUGAGUUCACCUGCAAUGCUAUUCACCCAAGAAGAAAAAAAACAAAGAGUGCAUGUGCGCUGAGUACGUGUGUGUGUGUUUGUGAGUGUGUUGUGGGCUUUGAAUGAGGCUAAAAGGCAGCAAGAAGGUAAAAGAGCUGAAAAGAAAAAAAAAGAAAAAACAGAAAUAGAGUGAGUGUGUCUGAGAGAAAAAGAAUGAAUGAAGAGACACGUAAAAAGAGCGACUGGAAAGACUAUCUGCUGCAUUAACCUUCCCCUUCACAGUGCCAGUAUAGAGUCUUUUCUGCACUCCUCUUUCAGCAGGGAGGACCCAGGGGACGGUAACGCUAAGCCCCAGUCCAUUCUUCCACCAGAAACUUUGAUUUCCUAUUAGGUUCCUCCUGAUGGGGACUGAUGGGGAGAGGAGCGGAGAGGAAAGAGGGGAAGGGAAUGACAUGGAGAUGGAGGGCAGGGGGAAGAGAAAGUAGAGUGGACUGAAAAGUUGCCAAAAAAUGAAACAGUAAAAAGGCGGCAAAACUCAAACCAAAGAAAUCGAGAGUGAGGAGGAGGUGAAGAGUGGAGGUGAAUAAGGAGGGCUUGAUGCACAUCACAUGCGGUGGUUGUUGGACGUUUACUCUGGGACACUGGCUGUGCCUGUCCUGCGUACUGAGGGCAUUGUUUACGCUCAGCCCACUUAGCACUGACCUUUAGCUGGCAGACAUACAGACUGAGAGUUAAGAAGGAACACUGUGUCCAUUUAUGUCGACUUGGGUAUCCAAGUUCUGGUUGUUGUUUUUUAAAGUAUCCUGUUUUUUGUAUUUGACCAUAUCAACAUCUCAUCCCAACUUCAGGAACCACGAAAAGCCCUUAUCCUGGCUUAAGAAACCCACAUUUUGCUACAUAUAUAGAUGCCUGUCUAACAGUUUCUGGCCACUGCUGACUACCUGCGUAUUGGCACAGCCCCAGCCAAGUGAUGUGUCUGAAGAACAAGUAUGGUGCUGGUCUUCAGAGUGUCUUACUUCUGGAGUAACAAAUAAACUAUGAAUUUGAAAAUUGGAAGUUUAGAUUUGGAGAAUUACUCAAUCCAGUUUGUGUACAUGACCUUAAUUUGUUCACUUAUACCUUUAGACUCAAUUUCAUGUAAUUAAAACCUCACUGGCCCUAUUAUUUAGUGCAAGAAGCAAAAGUUUAAAAGUUUAGUUACAAGGCCAUCAACAACUCAUCACCACCAACUUUCUUUUUUCCUUGUUUUGAAUGUCCAAAGUCUAGGAUUGCACUGAAACUGGAAAGGCCCGUAUUAUUAUCACAACACAUGAGAUGCACAUAUGUGGCCUGCAUUUUGCGUAACAGUACAUGACCUCCCAGGAGGGCAAUACAGGAACAAAAAUCCUUUUGCUGCAAAGGGAGGCCAAGUUCAACUGAUCGCUAUUGUCAGCUAACUUCAUUUACACAUUUUGUCAAGUCAUCCCCAUUAUAUUGACAAGUAUCGAGUUUUUCUAAAAGACUGAAGAGAAAUGUGUGGGUGCCUUAGAUAGACACGUGGCGCAAAAAGAAACUUCUGUCUGAGAAAAAAUAGGCAAAUAAACAACGAAUAUGGAAGAUUUUGAAGUUCAUUUUUUGGUGGAUAAAAUUAAUGACGCCCCUUUUCAAUAAAUCAUAUAUCAUGAACUACCCAUUAAAAAGCGUUAUGAUUAUAAUUCAUAAGUUGAUGAACAUCCAAGACAGCUCAAACAAUGACUUUCUCCUGACAACAACAACAACAUUUCUGUGUUUUUAUGAUAAGUAGUCCCCCUGUCUUGUGUGGGAAAGAGGGAUGAGACUGAUAUUAAAGUCGAGUAGGCGAGACACAGAGAUAUGGAGACAGAGACAUACAGAGAGACACAAAAGGGAGCAGGAGAGAGGUAGUCAGAGGGAGAAUGAUUGAUUGAUGUGGUCAGUGAGGCGUCACUGAUCUCCAAGGGAGACCCCCACCCCUUCAUCGCCAAUGAGGAGGAUGUGGAUUGGCUUUAAUGGUGUGAAAACAAGCAGACUGCAGCACUAAUCUGGAAGGAGGAGGAAGAUAAGGACAGCCAAAUAAGCUAUAAACAAAUAGAGUCAAUGAGCCCAGAAGUUUCUCGCGUUUGCAGCCCCUUGAGCAGAAUUUAUUUUAUUUUUGUUUUAUAGUAUUAACUAGUGUUGGAGGGAGGACAGAGGCACAUUAGUCAUAAAGAUCCGCAAACUAAUUUUCACCAAAAUAAAAUCAGCGUUUUAUUUAUGCACUAAAUUACACUAAAGUAAAGAUUAAUGCUAUUGUGGAGCAAAACUCGCUUUUAAUCAAAAUAUCAAACAUUAAACAUCUUAAUGCAGAGAAAAGUGGAGUUAAACAGCUGCAACAUGAGCCUGGUCUGGCAGUCAGUUAAACCAGCACUGUUUGUGUGUUUGUGUUACCCUGCAGAGAGGCUGACUAAUCCGUUACAGCGGUAGGAAAUGUCUAGCUAUAUUAGGCGUGUUAUCCUGCUGGGAUCUUGUAUUUCAAUGGGAGUCCUUUGCUCCUAAAGAUGCCCUGUGGGCAUCCUCAAGCAACAGACAACAAAUACACUUAAAAUGGAUCCAGUUAAGACCAUCUUAAGGUUGUUUUCACAUCUGAAUCACUGUAUACAUUAUUUUAGCUGUAUUAUUUUAGAGAAAAAAGGUUAAGGGUAUUUUACCGUCAUCGUAGAUUACAAAAGUAGUUCUUAAUUAAAAAAUAACAAACAAGCGCUGGUAUUUAAGGUAUUUUUGCACGGGUUUAGGUUCACAGUUCCACUGUUCCUUUUCCUUUCUAGGAGCAAAGAUCCAUGUUAAUCCAAUUCCUUAACUGUGGGGAGCAGUGUGCUGUUUGAAUGCAGCAGGGGGCUUGCUGUUUGCGAGUGCGCCCUGCAGCUAUUGUUGGGUGUAAAGAGACCACUCGAGACCGACAUGAUAGUACUGCUCCUCUGUCAAGUGGAUGAUGUUAGUUGGGUGGGCUGCUGGUGGUACUCAUCCACGAGCAGCACAUAACUGAACAUAAUCUCACGGGUAAGCCUUGGAACAAGGAGUGUGAGGCUGAUUUCUAGUUGGAUGAUAACAGUUUCAAGUUUUCACUUUCAUUAUAUUGAAAUGUGCACUUCACACUAAAAUCAUUGCAGAUGCAUUGUUCAAUGUCCAUCCAUAUAUAUGUCUUUUUUUCCUCGUAAAUGUACUUGUGCCACUCUAUUUAACCACCUGUACCUCUACCAGUCACCAAAUCUGAUUUUCUUUUCAGCGCCUCGCUACUGCCUGCCACAACUCCACUGUGGCCUGCCUCUUUCUUGGAUGGGUGGCUGAAUGGCUGAAAACGAUAGGACAUGUAUCUCUAAUUGGAAAGAUGAAGAAAGAGAUGUGCAACAUCACUGUGUAUCUGUGUGCGGAGGAGAGAGGGAGGCAGGUAAGGUGGAGGUGGAGGUUGUCUCUGUGCUCUCUGAGUGCUGUGUGAGUGCAGGAGGGAGGCUGUAAACGAUACCCUUGUCUGUUCCCUUCUUGCCCCACUCUGAGGCUGCUCCACCCUGGGCAGCCCGGGAAAGAGUGGGGGUCCCCUGGGAACUGGACAGGACAGGGAGGAGGAGGGGGAAGGGGGGGCUGGUUGCAUGGAGGCCAGGCUUUCAGCCACUAUGAAAAGGAGCGGAAUCAAAUACAAGCAAAAUCUCCUUCAAUGUACUGUAUCCCUCACCUGAGUAGGGCAGCUAGCUGAAAGCAGAUCCAUGGGGGCGACUGUACAAUGGGCCCUGAGAGGACAAGAGAGGGGGAGAGGAGGGAUAUAGUUAAUUUAACAGAGGAGUGGGGGCAGAAAUAACAAGGCUGAGUGCAAAAGACAACAAUUUACAGCUACCUGCAACAAAUUUCAGUUCAAGUUUUUUGAACUGGCACAAAGACUUAAUAUUCAACUUUGUCCUUUUUUUAUUGGAUGAAUUAUUGAAUGAAUUUCCCUUUGGUGAUACAUAAAGUUCUUGCAUUACAUUUGUCUUUUUUCUCUCCUUGUUUUUGCUAGCAUUCUACCUUUUUCUACUUUGAGGCAGGCCACCAGAGUGUGUUCACCAUCAAUAUUUGUACUUUUGUAAAUUAGCCAUGCAGACUUUUACCCAUUCCUUUAGCCCUUUAUUUUCAUAUCAAACUGAAACUUUAAGCAGAUACACAUCAGGUCAAUUUUCGGCCAGACUCCCACUUUCAGAAAAAACUGAGCAGAGACCCAUACUUUCACGUUUUUGACCUAAAUAGCUGUCAGAGUAAAGCGCUAUUCUUCAAAAAAAGUGAAAUAAAAAAAGUUAUUCUGAACUAUUGUGUUCAUAUACUGUUAUUCUUAACAACCAGGUUGCUGUACCUCCACGUUUGCCUUCCUACAACAGUUUAAUCAUACCACACACUUCAGAUUUUUCUUUAAGGCAUUUCCAUUUUAAGUGGGGUGGUUUCCAGCGUUUUUCCAGUUGUUUCUCCUGAAACAACAUCUUUUCCAAAAUGAUAAGAGAUUAAAAAAAAAUGAAAUAAAUAAAUUUAAAAAAUAAAAAUAAAAAAAACGUGUGAAAUGGGCAGAGGAAUAGUGCAGUGUGUACAUCUGGUAAGUCAAAACAUAUAUAUUUUUUUACAACUAAAACAUGUAAAACUGAUGAAUAUUUAAGCUUUUUAAAAUCUUUUUUAUCAUUAUCUUCUGAUCAACCACACCUUUUCGCGCAGAUACCUGACACUGAAACCUUAACACUUAAAGCUAAUAGACCUGACACUGAACCCUCCUGAACUCUGUAUGUUCUUUACAUACAUGCAAUCCUACUGUACACGUGAAUUUGGCGGGCUGCCAACAAAGGUUAUGUGUGGUUAAGUUGACACAUGUGUCAGAGGACACACAUGAUCACACUCCUGCAGAUAGAUGAACAUCCCACCUCUUUGCCCCCUCCCACUCUCUCACACAACUCUCAUGUUCCAAGGUGUGAAAAAGAUGGAAAAUCACCUGCAGCCAAAUCACUUCCGCAGCUCGC